AAGCGAUCGUGACUUCGAUACAAAGUUCCCCCAACACACUGCAAUCAUCUCAACGUACGUGAGUGAAAAUACACAAAACCAUUCUUAAACUAUUCUCCGUGGAAAUUGAAAAGCAAAAUCUGAAAUCAUCGUACCUCCCAGCCUCCCAUGCCAAACAUCUCUGUUCAAAGCUUACACGUUUUGGUCUACCUGGUCAUAGUAAGCGUUGGGACCAACCCGUGCUUAGUUCAACAAAGAUGGAUAUUGAAACAGGUGUCGACGUGUAAGUGGGGGCAUGCGUUCAAAGGAACCAGUGAGGCAUCCGAAGUGUUUUUUUUCUGUGGGGGGGAAGUGUGAGCCAGUGAUUGCAAUGCCGCAGUGUUGAGCCAAAGGAUUUUUCGAGGGAAGACGCAGGUAUUGAGCGCGGGAGGUAAGCAUCCCAUCAAUGAAUAAAGAGUUACCGCAAGGCAUGGUGCUAUGGCCACAGGAGUUUAUCCGAGAUUUAAAAUGCGUUCUUACAACCCUUGGCGUGGCGUGGGAGGCAAGAUCGGGGCAGUGAAAUGAUGUUUGUGGCUCGACUUGCAUAUCUCUGCCUCCCUCGAGGGAGUGCCUUGAUUGUGUGGGAGGGACAGUGCAUGCGAUGAAGCAAGGUGCUCUCCGUGCCAUAGUCGCGAAACAAUCAGGCUAGGGAUAAAGCAAUACCGGUGAAUAAACGAAAAACCAAUAUUUGGAAAUGAACACGAGAUAGGCCUACAUUAGUGUAGUCGGAAGCGUGACUGACCGAGAGACGGGAAAAAAGGCUGAGAAAAGGAAUCAGUGUUGAUAGUGAGGAGGAUUAUGGCUUCAGACCUGCUUCAGAAGGGUCUUCCGCAUCCUUGGAGUAUCGGAGUGGCUCGCGACGGACGCAUCUUUUUCAUUAAUGAGGAAGCUCGGCUGACCACUUGGCUUCACCCGGUGACCUGCGAACCCGUGCUGACCGGACACCAGCCACUUACAGACCUUCCCAAGGGAUGGGAGCGCGGGGUCACACCGGAGGGAAUCCCCUACUAUAUUGAGUGAGUACUGACGCCGUUUCUUAUUUUCCUUUCUUAUUGGGCGGUUG
RNAcentral lists this long non-coding RNA (1081 nucleotides) under Penaeus japonicus. RNAcentral's name for it is "uncharacterized LOC122253555". The record is from RNAcentral. Lineage: Eukaryota; Metazoa; Arthropoda; Malacostraca; Decapoda; Penaeidae.